RNAcentral lists this long non-coding RNA (527 nucleotides) under Trifolium pratense (red clover). Its description in RNAcentral is "long non-coding RNA (TPRA_LNC005345)". Lineage: Eukaryota; Viridiplantae; Streptophyta; Magnoliopsida; Fabales; Fabaceae. The record is from RNAcentral.
CAGUGACGGAGCCAGAAAUUUUGCAAAGUGGGGGCACCAUAGAUACAAAUUUAUAGCACUAAAUGUAUAAAUUAUUUCAUUUUUGAGAGAAUAUAUAUGAAAGGCUUAAUUACAUAUAUAUUUGAUCAUUUAGGUUUGUUUUAGGUUUUAAUUUGGUCCCUUAAGUUUAAAAAGUUUCAAGUUAGUCAUUUUAGUCAAAUUUUGGUUUAAAUCGUCCAUUUAGCUAACAAAUUUGUAUACGUGGACAACUUAGGAGGGUGUCACGUGGAAGUUUUAGACGAAAUUAACUCAAAAUUUAAUAAAAAGAACCAACUUAAGUUGAAAUAAGUAAUGCAUGGGAUUAAAUUGAAACUUUUAAAACAUAAAGUACCAAUUUAAAAUCUAAAAUAAAGAUAUAAGAUACCAAAUAUGCAAUUAAGCCUACAUUGAAAUAUAUACUUAACCUUAAACCAUGAGUGAAAGAGACAGUGGAGCGUGUUUGAUUUCUGUUGUAGUGAGAAAGAAUGAGUGAGGGGUGUGGUUUGUGU